RNAcentral lists this ribosomal RNA (492 nucleotides) under uncultured bacterium. Its description in RNAcentral is "partial 16S ribosomal RNA". It matches the Rfam family "Bacterial small subunit ribosomal RNA", at positions 29 to 507 of the family's 1533-position model. The record is from RNAcentral.
AGUGAACGCUGGCGGUAGGCCUAACACAUGCAAGUCGAACGGCAGCACAGUAAGAGCUUGCUCUUACGGGUGGCGAGUGGCGGACGGGUGAGGAAUACAUCGGAAUCUACUUUUUCGUGGGGGAUAACGUAGGGAAACUUACGCUAAUACCGCAUACGACCUACGGGUGAAAGCAGGGGAUCUUCGGACCUUGCGCGAUUGAAUGAGCCGAUGUCGGAUUAGCUAGUUGGCGGGGUAAAGGCCCACCAAGGCAACGAUCCGUAGCUGGUCUGAGAGGAUGAACAGCCACACUGGAACUGAGACACGGUCCAGACUCCUACGGGAGGCAGCAGUGGGGAAUAUUGGACAAAGGGCGCAAGCCUGAUCCAGCCAUACCGCGUGGGUGAAGAAGGCCUUCGGGUUGUAAAGCCCUUUUGUUGGGAAAGAAAAGCAGCAGGUUAAUACCCCGCUGUUCUGACGGUACCCAAAGAAUAAGCACCGGCUAACUUCGUG